Molecule: long non-coding RNA, 1985 nt
Organism: Cyprinus carpio carpio
Lineage: Eukaryota; Metazoa; Chordata; Actinopteri; Cypriniformes; Cyprinidae
Source: Ensembl
CUAAGACAAACCCUAACUAUAUAGAAAGUAGAUGUAGUUAAUUAAUAUUACUCAGUACUUAAAUGUAUAAUUACACUGUCACAAGCACACCUCAAAAUAAUGUGUAAACCAAUUUUGUCAAGUUGUUUCCUACAUUGUUGUUACAUGUACUUAAUAUUUAGUUUUUUGUGUGUGUGUGUGUGUGUGUGACAUCCAGAUAUCAUAAUUUUAUUCCAAGUUUUUUAAAAUGUGUUAACUUUUGGCUGCUUAAGCAAAUAAAGAGUCAAGCUCUAGUUGCAUAAUGCAUGUUUUGGUAAAUAUUGUUGGUUAUUCUGUGCACAGAAAUUAUCAUAGUGUACAUACUGCAGAAAUUGUAAUAGUAGUAUGUCAUUCCAUACAUGAUCCAACAUGUGUGCCUUCUACAAUCUACCAUGUUGUUUUCGGUAAUGCUUUAUGGGUAAUAUUGGUUAAGUAUGACUUUUCUGAAAUAUCCUGAUAUGAUUUUCUUGGAACGUCUCUCUCAUGUGUUUCCAAUUAUGACAAAGUGUUUCACCAAACAAAUAACAGUAACUGUGUAACCACACAGUAAAUACUGUGACUCUUACAUGUCACCUUUCAAAUGUUGUAAGCUGUAUUUUAUGUGGUCAGAAACCUCUGGUGUCUAUAAGCCAGAAAAUAUGUAAAUGUAAAAUAAAUGAGUGCAGCCAUUCACAAUGUACUUGGCAGCACAAUCACUUAAUGACCAAUUCUCACCCACAAAAAUCAGACAUUUAAACAGCAAAAUGCUUAGCUAAUAUAUUUUGUCAGUCAUAACUCAAAUACUGGGCUGAAAUCAAGCAAAUGAAAUUAACACAACAUGUUCAAAAUGUUUUCCCAACACUUUAAACAUCUCUACAGAAGGGCAUCAGAAUCCAGACAAAACCAAAGACUGAAGAAAAACACGAUCAUGCUCAAACGAGAUCAUUCGCAGUGAUUCAUUGGUGUUUUCCAUAUGAUCUGAAUUACUGUGCUGGCUUCACGGCCUUUUUUGAGUCUUUUCAAGUUUUUGAGUCUCUUUUGGUCUUUGAUAUUGUAUGGAAAUGAGACAUUUUAAUGGGAAAUGAAAACCAUGUGAGCGCACAGCUGUGAUGAGAUGAUCUGGGGGCGGGGUUUAGUCUGGGUGGGGCGGGGUUUGUUGGUGCCACUUGAGGGAGGAGACCCUGAACAUCAUCAUUCAUCAUCAGUGGCCUGUGGUAAAACACUAAUGUUGGAGGUCACUUCCUGCGGCUCAGUAAACACGCUCAGUCAGUCUGUUCUGGGAACAGUGUUGCUUUUAGUCUAAUUAGGUGAGCAUCCAGCUAACGUGUAGUUAAGUUGCUGACCGCAGCCUCGAGGUGAGACGCUGUUGAAGAGUAUUAAUGAUAGCAGAUAGUUCUGAUAGAAAGUGAAAAGCAGACUGACUUCAUGAUGCAACAUUACGACAUAAAUGAGUGAGAAAAAAUGUAUAUAUUUUUUCUGUUAGUCACAAAAGUACACAUUUAGCAAAAUGUCCUGGCUCUUCUUUACCACACAUUGAAAUUAUUUAGUGAUGAUCACUAGCUGUCAAAGUCCAAAACUACUUUAAAGUACAUUUUAAAUCGCUAUGUUUUAAUAUUCUUUUUUUUUUUUUUUUUGUACGUGAAAGUUGUUGACAUAUUAACAUAUAACAUAUAAAAGUAUAUAUGAAAUGCAGCUUCAUCAAUUUAAAUACAUUUAAAUACAUGACAUAGAUGUUUCAAUAGAAAUGCAAUUGAAGUACAUUUUAGUUUACCAUAAAUGCUUAUCCAUAUGAUUAUGAAAUUACAGUUGAAGAUGUACUUAAGUCCUACAUCAGUGGGCCAAUAAUACACUCUAAAGGUUAGCUAAAUGCAUUUAAUAAACUUAAAGUAUAUUACAUUUUUUGUUACACAUAUUGCAUGCACUUAGUAUAGUAAUAACAGUAAAUUAUGCAUAAUUAAGUAACUAACCAUAAUCCUAUAAAAGGUACA